AUGACUCUCCACCCCACCCCACCCCGCCCCCUUUCAAAUACUACAGACACAAAGAUGACUGGGGGAACUGCUGCUGCUGCUGCUGCUGCUAAGGCCACCAAACAAGAGAGAGAUGCACAGCGAUGUGGGGAAGAUAAUUCUACUCUAAGGCUUGAGAAUGAAAGCCCAGGUUUUCAAAGGCGAAGCUGGGGAAAACAAGAGGAAAACAAGGACCUUCGUGUCUCCAGUGAGCCUUCUUUAAGUGGCUGCUGGAAGACUGUGACCUGCCUUCCAGCACCACCGACGCUGCCGGGGAGCCCCAGGUAACGCAGAAUCACCCACUCCAGCCCUGACCUGCUGAACCAGAAGCUGCCUUCAAACAAGAUUCCCAGCUGGUUGGCACGCACGUGACAGUCUGAGGAGCCAGACUCGAGACUGGUGGUUCUCCGCUCUGGUUGUGCCUCGUCCAGGCCCACCCCGGGUGGCUGCAACACCCACCUUCCCACCCCCAGCAGGUGACUGUGAUGGGCAGCCAGGGCUGGGAGCCACAGCUCCAGGCUGCCAGCUGAGGCCAGGGACUCAUCAAGUCCGUAUCUACUCCCCUGCCCCACCUUUCCCCAAGGCUGGCGGCACAGGGCCUGGCACACAGCUGUGCCCACGGAAUUCCACACCAAAAAUACCCUCGAGGAUGCCCCUGAACCUGACUGCCUUUAAAAGAGAAACAAAAACUCUAAUGACAGAGGACUAGCUGUUGCCUAGAACUCUGCAAAUCCCUAGUCAUCGAGGUGGACGUAGGAGUCAGUGCUUCCAGAUCACUUGCCUCAGUUUCCGGAAAUGAAACAGACACUGGAGUGGAAAAGAAGGAUGAAUCAGAAGUCCUGCCGGCCUUCAUGGGGCUGUGGUGCUGCGGCGGGGAGGCAGAGACUGUGUAGGGAGCAGGUAUGCUGAGCUGAGAAGCCCUGGGGGAUGACUGAAAUCCCAGGCUGGGGGCCCGACUCCUUCAAUCCUGACCCCAACAGCACAGCAUUGCUCUUGCUGGAAAGCUGGGCCAAGCCUCUUGUUUUACGAAUACGGGAAGUGAGGCCCAGAGAAGCUGGCAAGGGCCCACCGCCAGUCAGGGGCAAGAGACGGCCUCGCCCCGCGCUUCAGGGUCAGUCCUCCCCGGGCACGGGAGGCCUGGCCGACAGCUCUGCCACAAGCCCGAGCCUCGCUGGGCCUUAGGUCCUGAUCGACAUGAGGAGGCUGGACUAGGUGUAAGUGAGGUCCCUUCUAAGCCUGAUGUUCUAGCACGGCAGCGUAACUUACUGAGGUUAGGAGCUCGUGUUCUGGGGUGGGACAGACCUGGAUUUGGAUCCCAGCUCUCAGAAUUUCUUUACCUGUAAAAUGGGGAUUUCAAUCAACCGACCCUACCCUAUAAAGUUGUUGUGAACGAUAAUACGCGUAAUUCAUUUAAGCAUAGUACCUGACCCACAGUAAGCGGAGUUCCAACCCUGUGAACUUGACGAAGUUGCAAAGCACGGUCACUGUGUUUCCCUGGCAUGACAAAGCCCUAUCUACUGGGCUUUACCACACUGAUGACAGAAUGAGAGAACAUACGUUAAGGCAAUCAGAGAGGGGAAAUAUAAUAAUGAUAAUAAAUAUAAUAAUCAGAUAAUAAAUAUUGUAACAAUUGUAUAAUAUAAUGAUGAUAUGAUAUAUAAUACUUAACAUUCCUUUCCUAGCAGAACCUUGGAGAGCUUCAGAGUUCCAGAGCAGUGGCCACUACAACGCCUAGCACAAAGCAGGUGCUCAACAAACUUUUCUACUGGCGCAGUUAAAACUACUGUGCCUAAUGGGUUCACAAAUUCCAGCUGCUUAAGUCAGGCAGCACCUACGUGGGAACUGUAGGAAACUGCGAAGGACCCCUUGCCACAGCCUAGAGGAUUUCAAACCCAGCACUUGACACACGUUAUGCAGCUGCUGCAGCCUCUGCACACCAGUUCCUGGUCCUCCACUACACUGCAGAGUAUCCAGCCGCUCAUCUAAUCCUUCCGUGAUCUGGCCUUGUCUUUCCGCAUACCCAGUUGGCGUCCUGAAGAUGAGGGCUGUGACCACACUCCCCAGUCUCCCCAGAUCCUGGUCUCACAGUGAUGGGGACCUCACUCAGCCAGCUGCUGUUGAACUGAACAGCCAGACUGUUAAUUGGCACCUUGUACGAGAUGCUGCGGGCUGGGUACAUUUUUCGACCCAAGGGCCAGGCUGAGUUGGUGUAGGCGCUGAGCUGCGGUGACUGGACCCAGAAGCACUGGUUUUGCAGGUUUUUCCUCAACUGCAUCAAACGCGCUUGUUCCUGAGCCACCUACAUAGGUGGUACACGUGCACCCAGACACACUGACUCUGCAAGGACACGGCAGAGUAAGUACGACCCACAGGUGCCGUUUUGGGGGGAGAAGUUUAGCCUCCACUUCUGGCACCCCCAGACUCCCCUGGUGCCUCCCGGAAGCAGCACAGGGUACAGAAGGACCAAACUCCAGAUGAAGAGAUUGGGGUCCUGGGUCCCAUCUUGCUUCCUCCGCUCACAAACUUUAGGAUGACUGCUGGCAGGCAACAUGACUUCUAGGAGCUUCAUUAUGUUUAUUAGUGAAAUGCACGUAACAAUAAUUACCUCAAACGGUUUAAGGCAAUUAAAUGCUGCCGGUAUAUAAAGCUUCUAGCACUGCACACCCCUAUGAGUGGCUAUUGAGCAGCUGAUAUGUGGUUAUCACAAGCUGAGAUGGGCCCUAGGUAUAAAACACGCAUCAGAUUUCAAAGGCUUAUUGUUGUUUAGUCUCUAAGUUAUGUCCAGUUCUUUUGCAACUCCAUGGACUGUAGCCCACCAGGCUCCUCUGUCCAUGGGAUUUGCCAGAAAGAAUACUGGAGCGGUUGCCAUUUCCUUCUCCAGGGGAUCCUCCUGACCCAAGGAUUGAACCCAUGUCUCCUGCAUUAGUUGGUGGAUUCUUUACCAGUGAGCCACCAGGGAAGCCCUUCACAGGCUUAAUAACACACAAAAAUGUUAAUACCUCACUAGUAAUGUUUUUCUAUUGAUUAUAUGUCAAAAGAAUAUUCUUUGAAAAUCUACUAGGUUCAGUAAAAUGACAAGAAGUAAUUUCACUUUUUCCCCUUUUUCUUUUUUUGGCUGCUCCGGGACUUAGAUGCAGCAGGCAGGAUCUAAUUCCCUGACCAGGGAUCCAACUCAGGCGCCCCCUACACUGGGAGUGCAGAACCUCAGCCACUGAAUCACCACGGAAGUCAUUUGCUUUUUUAGUGUGGCUAUUAAAACUUUUUUAACCACAAAUAUUGCAUUAUAUUUCCACUGGACAGCAAUGCUUGAGCACAGAGCCUGGCACAGUUUGUGAAGGACAUUAGAGCUGCGACUCACACCCUGUACCUCUGGCCAAAGCCAAGUCCUCCAUUCAUAUGUUUAACACACAUUCACAGUGCCUGGCCCUGGGCAAGAUGCAGGAAAUACAAGGAGCAACGACGGACCCUUUCUUUUCCCCUGUGGACCUUACUACCUGGGGAUGGGGGGACAGACAGACAUGAAUACGUUCAUAAAUAUAUGUCAAACUGCUGUUCAAGUGGCGUGAAGGAGAAGUACAGAGGGUGAUGAAAGCGGGGAAUUCACUUGCUGGGACCAGGGAUGCCUCUAGAGGAACUGAUACUUGAGUGGAGAUUUGAAAGAUAAAGAGGACUUGACUGGAAGAAGGCAGGAGGGGAAGGUACUUCCUGGGGAGUAGGAAAGAAGGUUAAGGGUGCAGACUCUGAUCUGGCCCAGGGCUCGGUAUGUAGCAGGAACAAGAAAAGGCCAGUGUGACAAGAGUACUGAGCAAGAAGGGUUAGUAGAUGGAGACUAGAGAGGAGAGGUGGGUGGCAUCCCAUCUCCAGAGCUUGGGUGAGGAUCUGAGGGUGGUCCUGCAAAGAGGUGGAAGCCGGCCAGUUACAAAGUAAGCCAGGGAACGGAUCUGGACGGAAUUUUGAAAAGAUCCCUCGGGCCACGGUGCGAGGCCCACAGGAGAGCGGCCCCAGCGCCUGCGUGGGCAGAUGGGUUAGAAUACUGCAUCAGUCCAGGUAAGAGGCGAGAGAGGUCUGCA
This is a long non-coding RNA of Bos grunniens (domestic yak), 4088 nucleotides long. NCBI's taxonomy places the organism in Eukaryota, Metazoa, Chordata, Mammalia, Artiodactyla, Bovidae. The record is from Ensembl.